Molecule: ribosomal RNA, 253 nt
Filed under: uncultured bacterium
Lineage: Bacteria
Description: partial 16S ribosomal RNA
Rfam family: Bacterial small subunit ribosomal RNA
Source: RNAcentral
UACGUAGGGGGCAAGCGUUGUUCGGAAUUACUGGGCGUAAAGGGCGCGUAGGCGGCCUUCUAAGUCAGACGUGAAAUCCCCGGGCUCAACCUGGGAACUGCAUUUGUGACUGCAUCGCUGGAGUGCGGCAGAGGGGGAUGGAAUUCCGCGUGUAGCAGUGAAAUGCGUAGAUAUGCGGAGGAACACCGAUGGCGAAGGCAAUCCCCUGGGCCUGCACUGACGCUCAUGCACGAAAGCGUGGGGAGCAAACAGG